AUGUGGAAAAUAAUAAUAUACCAAAACCUUUUUCUUUGCUAUCGAAACAUACAAUUAAGGCACCAGAGGCUUGGGUUCUUUAAAAGAUGAACAAAUAAAAAUAAGUGUUUAUUUAUAAGA
This is a long non-coding RNA of Sphaerodactylus townsendi, 120 nucleotides long. RefSeq lists it as uncharacterized. The record is from RefSeq and is a predicted model, not a curated record. The transcript is spliced from 3 exons. Lineage: Eukaryota; Metazoa; Chordata; Lepidosauria; Squamata; Sphaerodactylidae.